This 526-nucleotide ribosomal RNA is filed under the name uncultured bacterium. RNAcentral's name for it is "bacterial SSU rRNA". It matches the Rfam family "Bacterial small subunit ribosomal RNA", at positions 984 to 1509 of the family's 1533-position model. The record is from RNAcentral.
ACAUCCAGAGAAUUUAGCAGAGAUGCUUUAGUGCCUUCGGGAACUCUGAGACAGGUGCUGCAUGGCUGUCGUCAGCUCGUGUUGUGAAAUGUUGGGUUAAGUCCCGCAACGAGCGCAACCCUUAUCCUUUGUUGCCAGCACGUAAUGGUGGGAACUCAAAGGAGACUGCCGGUGAUAAACCGGAGGAAGGUGGGGAUGACGUCAAGUCAUCAUGGCCCUUACGAGUAGGGCUACACACGUGCUACAAUGGCGUAUACAAAGAGAAGCGACCUCGCGAGAGCAAGCGGACCUCAUAAAGUGCGUCGUAGUCCGGAUUGGAGUCUGCAACUCGACUCCAUGAAGUCGGAAUCGCUAGUAAUCGUAAAUCAGAAUGUUACGGUGAAUACGUUCCCGGGCCUUGUACACACCGCCCGUCACACCAUGGGAGUGGGUUGCAAAAGAAGUAGAUAGCUCAACCUUCGGGAGGGCGUUUACCACUUUGUGAUUCAUGACUGGGGUGAAGUCGUAACAAGGUAGGCGUAGUGCU